AUGGCGGCAAAAAAACAUCUUUUCCGCUUUGGAUCUUUCGCGAUUAAAGACGGGUCUAAGACACAUUUCUGGGAGGACAUCUGGCUAGGCAAUGCCAGUCUCCGGGAACAAUAUCCAGCUUUGCACCGCAUUGUUCAUGAUAAGAAUGAAACUCUUGCGCAGGUGCUCAGUUCUUUUCCACCAGAUAUUUCUUUCAGGCGGGAUUUGAUUGGCCCCCGUCUUGUGUCAUGGCAACAUCUUUUGUUCCGAUUGGAUACGAUUAAUCUGACACAAGGACGAGAUGUGUUCCGCUGGAACCUCACUGCAUCUGGGUCCUUCACAGUCGACUCGAUGUACCGUGCGCUCACGCAUUCAGAGGUCCUAGUGGAUAAUAACAAGAAAAUCUGGAGAUCGAAGAUUCCACUGAAAGUUAAGAUCUUCAUGUGGUACCUUCGGAAGGGAGUGGUGCUAACCAAAAAUAACCUCGCUCGUCGCAACUGGCAUGGAAGCAAGAAGUGUGGCUUUUGUACUCAUGACGAGACAAUCAGACACCUCUUUUUCCAGUGCAAGUUUGCACGUUCUAUAUGGUCAAUCAUCCAAAUAGCGUAUAAUCUUUGUCCGCCCAUAGGUGUUGCCAAUAUUUUUGGUCACUGGCUGGAUGGUAUUCCUUAUAGAUUCAAAAGAGCGUAUGCCUUAUUAUGGUCGCUUUGGCUAUGUAGAAAUGAUCUGAUUUUUAAUGACAAACACUCUUCUCCUUUGCAGGUUAUUUUCUGUUGUACGCAAUCUCUUCGUACGUGGUCUAUACUUCACCGUAUGGAGUUCCAACCGCUGUGCAAGGCGGUGUGUACGCAAUUGGAGCGAGUGGCCAUGAAGGUUUUUUCCCAACAUCGGUGGCAGCAUAACCUCUGUAUCGGCCCAUCACAUCCUUCAACAUAG
Molecule: ribosomal RNA, 915 nt
Filed under: Triticum aestivum (bread wheat)
Lineage: Eukaryota; Viridiplantae; Streptophyta; Magnoliopsida; Poales; Poaceae
Description: partial small subunit ribosomal RNA
Source: RNAcentral